AUAUAUAAUGUAUUGAAGUGAAAUUCGUAUAACAUAAAAUUAACUACUUUAAAGUGAACAACUCAGUGGCACUUAGUACAUUCACCAUGCUGUGCUGCCACCACCUCUACCUAGUUCCACAGCAUAUCUGUCAACCCACA
Molecule: non-coding RNA, 140 nt
Organism: Vicugna pacos (alpaca)
Lineage: Eukaryota; Metazoa; Chordata; Mammalia; Artiodactyla; Camelidae
Source: RefSeq, a predicted model, not a curated record